UACAGAGGUCUCAAGCGUUGUUCGGAUUCAUUGGGCGUAAAGGGUGCGCAGGCGGUUUGCGAAGAUGGAUGUGAAAACCCUGGGCUUAACCUGGGAAUGGCAUACAUGACUCGCAGACUAGAAUAUAGCAGAGGGAGGUGGAAUUCCAUGUGUAGCAGUGAAAUGCGUAGAGAUAUGGAGGAACACCGAUGGCGAAGGCAGCCUCCUGGGCUAAUAUUGACGCUCAGGCACGAAAGCGUGGGGAGCAAACAGG
This 253-nucleotide ribosomal RNA is filed under the name uncultured bacterium. RNAcentral's name for it is "partial 16S ribosomal RNA". It matches the Rfam family "Bacterial small subunit ribosomal RNA", at positions 524 to 776 of the family's 1533-position model. The record is from RNAcentral.